This 322-nucleotide ribosomal RNA is filed under the name uncultured bacterium. RNAcentral's name for it is "bacterial SSU rRNA". It matches the Rfam family "Bacterial small subunit ribosomal RNA", at positions 154 to 507 of the family's 1533-position model. The record is from RNAcentral.
AAACUUGGGCUAAUACCGUAUGGUGCAGAGAUGCCAAAGAUUAUCGCCUUGGGAUAAGCCCGCGUCAGAUUAGGUAGUUGGUGGGGUAAUGGCCUACCAAGCCUGUGAUCUGUAGCUGGUCUGAGAGGACGAUCAGCCACAUUGGGACUGAGACACGGACCCAAACUCCGUACGGGAGGCAGCAGGUGGGGAAUCUUGCGCAAUGGAACGAAAGUCUGACGCAGCCAUGCCGCGUGAAUGAUGAAGGUCUUAGGAUUGUAAAGUUCUUUAGCCUGUGACGAUGAUGACGGUAACAGGAGAAUAACGCCCGGCUAACUUCGUG